This 28-nucleotide non-coding RNA is filed under the name Mus musculus (house mouse). The record is from RNAcentral. Lineage: Eukaryota; Metazoa; Chordata; Mammalia; Rodentia; Muridae.
UGGUAGAAUUUUGGGUCAUAUAUGUAUG